This 704-nucleotide long non-coding RNA is filed under the name Cyanistes caeruleus (blue tit). RNAcentral describes it as "lncRNA (ENSCCEG00000000307.1)". The record is from RNAcentral. Lineage: Eukaryota; Metazoa; Chordata; Aves; Passeriformes; Paridae.
CUACUGUAAUAUGCAGUAAUGUAUUCCCUAACUGUGGAAUCUGCAUUCAGAUUCUGUGCAGCAGCAUGUCCAUAUUGCAUAAUUUGUUUGUACUUGAGCUAACCUGAAGCCAAAUGACACUGAUUACCUCACAUCCACACUGCUUAAGGCUAGCAUUCCUCAUAAGUUUUUCUCAGAGCCAACCAGCUGUUGGUAGUGACGUAACAAUUAAUAACUGAAGCAACAGAGAAGACACUGAGCUCUUAGAUCUUUUCCAUUUAUCAGUUUAGAACUACACUGCUGUCCCUGAAGUAGCUCCUUAAAUGGUCUCAAUCUCCUGAAGGGGUUUAAGGAGAAGCUGUGUAUCCACAAGAAGGUGUGGAUUGCAACACCCAGCCAGGGCUGUUUUCAUGUCCCUGCUGCCCAAAUUUCAUUAUCUCUCAAAUCAGAGAAAAAACGAUCUGGCCAGAAGCUUGCCUAGGGCCUUGUGGGAGAGCAUACGGGAAGCAGAAAGCAGCAGAGUUAAAAGCUGUGGAACAACUGAGCUACAGGGCAACACUCCAUCAUAUUAUGCAGACCAGAAUAACACAGAAAGUUCAGUUUUGUUGACAAAAAGAAACUUCUCUUCCUAAAUAUGUGGCUGAAGCUGAAAAAAGAGAAACUCCUUAAACUCUUUUAUAUGAGGGAGAAACAAUGAUGAACUAUGUGUCCCUGUUGAAACGGCU